UGGGGAAUAUUGCGCAAUGGAGGCAACUCUGACGCAGCCAUGCCGCGUGUGUGAAGAAGGCCCUCGGGUUGUAAAGCACUUUCAAUUGGGAGAAAAAGCUUGUCGUUAAUAGCGGCAAGCCUUGAUGUUACCUUUAGAAGAAGCACCGGCUAACUCCGUGCCAGCAGCCGCGGUAAUACGGAGGGUGCGAGCGUUAAUCGGAAUUACUGGGCGUAAAGCGCGCGUAGGCGGUUGCUUAAGUCGGAUGUGAAAGCCCCGGGCUCAACCUGGGAACUGCAUUCGAUACUGGGCGACUAGAGUACGAGAGAGGGAGGUAGAAUUCCACGUGUAGCGGUGAAAUGCGUAGAUAUGUGGAGGAAUACCGGUGGCGAAGGCGGCCUCCUGGCUCGAUACUGACGCUGAGGUGCGAAAAGCGUGGGGAGCAAAACAGGAUUAGAUACCCUGGUAGUCCACGCCGUAAACGAUGUCUACUAGCCGUUGGGGUACUUGAGACCUUAGUGGCGCAGCUAACGCACUAAGUAGACCGCCUGGGAGUACGGCCGC
RNAcentral lists this ribosomal RNA (543 nucleotides) under uncultured bacterium. Its description in RNAcentral is "bacterial SSU rRNA". It matches the Rfam family "Bacterial small subunit ribosomal RNA", at positions 355 to 889 of the family's 1533-position model. The record is from RNAcentral.